GACAGAGGGUGCAAACGUUGCUCGGAAUCACUGGGCGUAAAGCGCACGUAGGCGGAUCUUUAAGUCAGGGGUGAAAUCCUGGAGCUCAACUCCAGAACUGCCUUUGAUACUGGAGAUCUCGAGUCCGGAAGAGGUGAGUGGAACUCCGAGUGUAGAGGUGAAAUUCGUAGAUAUUCGGAAGAACACCAGUGGCGAAGGCGGCUCACUGGUCCGGUACUGACGCUGAGGUGCGAAAGCGUGGGGAGCAAACAGG
RNAcentral lists this ribosomal RNA (253 nucleotides) under uncultured bacterium. RNAcentral's name for it is "partial 16S ribosomal RNA". It matches the Rfam family "Bacterial small subunit ribosomal RNA", at positions 524 to 776 of the family's 1533-position model. The record is from RNAcentral.